GCCACGGCUAACUACGUGCCAGCAGCCGCGGUAAUACGUAGGUGGCAAGCGUUGUCCGGAAUUAUUGGGCGUAAAGCGCGCGCAGGCGGUCCUUUAAGUCUGAUGUGAAAGCCCACGGCUCAACCGUGGAGGGUCAUUGGAAACUGGGGGACUUGAGUGCAGGAGAGAAGAGUGGAAUUCCACGUGUAGCGGUGAAAUGCGUAGAGAUGUGGAGGAACACCAGUGGCGAAGGCGACUCUUUGGCCUGUAACUGACGCUGAGGCGCGAAAGCGUGGGGAGCAAACAGGAUUAGAUACCCUGGUAGUCCACGCCGUAAACGAUGAGUGCUAAGUGUUAGAGGGUUUCCGCCCUUUAGUGCUGCAGUAAACGCAUUAAGCACUCCGCCUGGGGAGUACGGCCGCA
RNAcentral lists this ribosomal RNA (402 nucleotides) under uncultured bacterium. RNAcentral describes it as "bacterial SSU rRNA". It matches the Rfam family "Bacterial small subunit ribosomal RNA", at positions 490 to 890 of the family's 1533-position model. The record is from RNAcentral.